GCCAGGCGUGGUGGCGCACACCUGUAAUCCCAGCUGCUCUGGAGGAGAGGCAGGAGAAUCGCAAGUUCAAAGCCAGUCUCAGCAAUUUAGUGAGUCGCUAAGCAACUCAGUGAGACCCUGUCUCUA
RNAcentral lists this small RNA (126 nucleotides) under Marmota monax (woodchuck). Lineage: Eukaryota; Metazoa; Chordata; Mammalia; Rodentia; Sciuridae. The record is from RNAcentral.